This 254-nucleotide ribosomal RNA is filed under the name uncultured bacterium. Its description in RNAcentral is "partial 16S ribosomal RNA". It matches the Rfam family "Bacterial small subunit ribosomal RNA", at positions 524 to 777 of the family's 1533-position model. The record is from RNAcentral.
UACGUAGGGUGCGAGCGUUAAUCGGAAUUACUGGGCGUAAAGCGUGCGCAGGCGGUUUUGUAAGCCAGAUGUGAAAUCCCCGGGCUUAACCUGGGAAUGGCAUUUGGGACUGCAAGGCUUGAGUGCGGCAGAGGAGACUGGAAUUCCUGGUGUAGCAGUGAAAUGCGUAGAUAUCAGGAGGAACACCGGUGGCGAAAGGCGGGUCUCUGGGCCGAUACUGACGUGAGGAGCGAAAGCGUGGGGGAGCAACAGGA